Mustela lutreola (European mink) is the source of this 4764-nucleotide RNA transcript. It is a transcript of the gene named tRNA methyltransferase 12 homolog, with no coding region annotated. The transcript is spliced from 2 exons. The record is from RefSeq and is a predicted model, not a curated record. Lineage: Eukaryota; Metazoa; Chordata; Mammalia; Carnivora; Mustelidae.
CCUGCCCAUUUGACGUCACUUCCGACACCGGUUCCGCGGCGUCUGCGCCGCCGGUCCUGUAGCCGCGGUGGGUAUGCUGAGCCGGGUGAGUGGAGUCUCCGCGAGUCUCGCGGAGGGGAUCCGAGAGGAUGUGGGGGCAGCAACAUGGAAAGGGAAGGUGGGAAGCCUGCGGCUGUUGUCGCGGUUGUGACUGAGCCUCGGUUUACCCAGCGAUACAGGGAAUAUCUCGAGAAGCAGAAACUCCUGGACAGACGGCACCGUGUAGAGAAGAUGCCGGAUGGCACGGUGGCGCUGCCGGUGCGGGGAGAGACUCUCCCGGAGCAGCACCUGCACGAGCUGAGGGAUCGUGUGGCUCCCGGCAGCACCUGUACAGUGACGCAGCUCCUGCAUCCUGUCCCCUCAAAGGCGGCCCAGGGUUGCUCACCUGCCCAAAGGCUGUGUCUUGAAGUGAGUCGCUGGGUAGAGGGCCGGGGAGUGACGUGGUCAGCUGAGUUGGAGGCUGAUUUGCCCCGAUCUUGGCAACGACAUGGCGACCUCUUGUUGCUGAGCGAGGACUGUUUCCAAGCCAAGCGAUGGAAACAUCUGGAACCAGAACUCUGGGAGACUGUUGCGUCGGCACUUGGCGUCCGUCGUGUGGCCAAACGAGGGCGGGUAUCCCCAGAUGGCGCUCGAACGCCAGCAGUGACUCUGCUGUUGGGCGACCAUGGCUGGGUAGAGCAUGUGGAUAAUGGGAUCCGGUAUAAGUUUGACGUGACCCGGUGCAUGUUCUCCUUCGGAAACAUCACUGAGAAGCUUCGAGUGGCAUCGCUGCCCUGUGCUGGAGAAGUGCUGGUGGAUCUCUAUGCAGGGAUUGGUUAUUUUACAUUGCCCUUCCUCGUCCAUGCUGGCGCUGCGUUCGUCCAUGCCUGCGAGUGGAACCCCCACGCUGUAGCUGCGCUGAGAAAGAACCUUGAUAUCAAUGGAGUGGCAGAUCGGUGCAAAAUACACUUUGGGGAUAACAGAAAACUGAAGCUCUCAAACAUUGCAGACCGGGUGAACCUGGGGCUGAUUCCCAGUUCUGAAGAAGGCUGGCCCAUUGCCUGCCAAGUGCUGCGGCACGAUGCUGGGGGCAUUUUGCAUAUCCACCAAAAUGUGGAAUCUUACCCAGGCAAGAACCACCAGCCUCCGGGAAGCAGUGAAAUGGAGAAGGAACAUUGGCCUUAUCCUCAGCAAAUGAUCACCAACCAUUGUACAAAUGGAGCAACCAGGGAUUCUAGGGGGAAAAGGCUAUCAGCAGCCACCAAACCAGAAUGGCAGAGGUGGGCCGAAUCUGCAGAAACUCGUCUUGCCACCCUUCUUCAGCAGGUGCACGGGACACCAUGGAAGACACAAAUCCUGCACAUCCAGCCAGUGAAAUCCUAUGCUCCCCACGUGGAUCACAUAGUGUUGGAUUUGGAAUGCCGCCCCUGUCCUCUAGUUGGCUAGAGAAGGUGGAUCCUGAGACACAAGGAUCUACAUGUGAGUGACCCUUAAUACAUAAGUUUAGGCGGGGUUCUCACCUCUCUUUUCUCCUGGCAGCCUAUUUUAAUAUUUUGUGUCCCUGAAAGCAGGCUCUAGAUCAGUACAAGUCAUCUUGUUUGUCUUCCAUUAUCACAAUGAGAAUGAACUGCAUAUCGGGGAGAAGCAGUAUGGCUCCCUGAAAUGAGGUCUGUACAGUGAAUUCUGACCUCAGUCCUGUCUUACCUUGGUAUGUGGUACCAGUAUUCUUUUGGCCUUGGAUUUCCUCACUUGCAAAAUGAAGGUGUUUUACAGGCUAUUGUCUAAUAAGCAGUUGUACACAGGGCAUUGGUUAUUUUAGAGUGAAAGACAUAGUGCUGUUUCCAAAAUCACUCCAGCUACAGUGUGGAACACUGACCCGAGUGGGGCCAGGCUAGAAGCAGGGAGACCUUGGAGGAGGCUUCUGUGGGUGUCCAGGGAGGAUAUGGUGGUAGCUUGGACUAGGAUGCUGGCAGUGGGAAGUGGAUGUAUUUGAGAUACGAAAUCGAUGGGACUAAGCAGUACAGCCCAAAUCAAAGCACUCAAAUGGUGCAGCUUUGUUAUGAAGGCUGACGAGAUUAGGGAAGGAAGAGGUUAAGAAUUACUCUAUUUUAUCGCCUUCAUUCCCUUUAGCAUUUCUAAAUGAGUGUUGGGGAAGACGUCUUAUACAUUAGGUUUGUUGUAGAAAAGAGGCUAAAAAUGACUGCUUUAAAUUAUGGGGAAACUAGAUUUCCAGCCUUAAGUUUAUGCAAUAAGCUAGUUUUGUUGUGUUUUGUUUUUUUAAGAGAUUUUGAGAGAGCACGUGAGCAUGAGAGGUAGGGGGUGGGAAGGGGAGAGGGAGAAGGGGAAGCAGAGAGAGAAGCUGACUCCCUUCUGAGCAGGGAGCCCAAUGCUGGGCUCCAUCCCAGAACCCUGAGAUCAUGACCCAAGCCAAAAUCAGGUGCUUGACUGACUGAGCCACUCAGGUAUCCCUAAGCUACCUAUUUUAAAAGUUUAAAUUAAAAUAUUACAUUUAACAGGGCUCAAGCUCCCUUUUCAUAUUUUUUCUCUGGUGGACGUCAGGGCCAACAUAAGGAGCUAUAUGCAACGUAAGAUCUUCUGCAGAGUUUUUCACGCCUCACCUUAUUUUAUGGCUGUCUGCCAGCACCACUGUUUACCACUGGAACGACUAAUUGCAGAGAACCACUGUUUACCUUUGGGGAUGACUAAUUUUGAGAAGCACUUCAGAGCUUUGUUUUGGUGCACUUUGAAGCCAUCUGGGCUUGUUUUUUUGAUGAAGGAAACAUAGGAAAGUGGCUUUAUCGGGAUUACAAUUGUAUGUCGCAUUUGGCUGGCUGGGGUUGGGCUGGAGCUGCUUGCCCUUUGCUUUUAAUAGCAUCAGGAACGACAGGAUCGGUGAGCCUGUUGUGUAUGUGAACUGUGGAUGCAUUAGAUACAGCCCAGUCUCUGAGGAGCUCACAGCCUAGCAGCAGAAAUAACACAAAAACUGAGAGACUUGGAAUACAUUAAGUACCAUGUGAGUAAUAGCAUGACAUAGAAGUGCGGAGGUGGAGAAGGAAAGUUCUGAGAAUGGGGAAGUCUUCAGAGAGGUCGUGUCCGAACUCACUCUUAAAAACUGGGUAAUAUCUUGGGACGUGGAGUCAGGGUGAUGCUAGUGGAAGGAGAAAAAAAAAUGCAAGUGCAAAAAGCUUGCUCAGAAAAUGUUUGGACAUCGUCAUUAGAUCAGUUUGGAAGAGAAGAAACAGUGAGAGAUAUGUUGAAGGCGGGGGUUGUUGUAAGGAUUAAAAAGAAUAGUGUCUAGUACAUAGUACACCCCCAGGAAAUGUUAGCUAUCAUGUGAUCCCACCACAGAAGGGGGCCUGAUUGUUCCAUCCCCACCCCACAGAGCAUCCUGCCUGUUUGCCUUAAUCAUCCCCUCUUCUACAUAUGGGGUUUCUUCUCACAUGUGUGCCUGCAGCUUUUGAGCCUCAGACUAGAAAUGCGAUGCUGGGACUUGAGCCAAAUAUGGGGAGGAAGGAAGGCAGGGGAGAAGCAAUGAGGAAGGUGAGUCAGGGAGCCACAUGUCCAGGGGCUGAGGAGUCACCUGUCUGCCGCAAGCUAUGGAUAGGCUGCUGAAGUCAGACACAUUGGAAUGAAUGCAUUCACCCUGCGAUAGACACAUCAGGCCUUGAGGGUUUAGGGAUAUCAGAAGGUUGACGUGGGUUCUGUGUUCAUGGAAUUGAGGUUCAACUCAUACACCUCCUGACUUCUAUCCCUUGUCCAUGACCUUAGGCAGCCUCUCAAGAUUCAGUUUCUCCAUCUGUACAUACGGGUGAACAACUUACAUCUCCUGAAGGAUACUCGUUAGCUUUCAGUGAGUUAACAUACAUAGACUCUCACCACCAUGACUGGCACAUAGGGGAUACCUCAUGCAUUCAAGAGUCUGCAUAGAGGGUAAACUACCAUUUCCCAGUUUGGGUGUGAGGAACUGCUGUACAUUUGCUUUAGUAGUUGAAGUAGAAUGUCCUUAUUUUGAAAAGCUACUCAUUGAUUAAUUGGCAUGUACUGUGUCCUUUCUCUGUUAGGCAUUGUGAUGAGGGCCAGAGACAGUGGGGAGGAUACUGAUGACUAGAGAGUUAAGUACUCUGUCUAGAGACAGAGCACUAGCAAGAGGCAGAAGUGGGCAAGUAUACGGCCAAGCACAUAGUGCUCAGUGUCUGUUACAUGAAUGAAUGAACCAAAGUCGUCGGUGUAUACUCAAUAUUGAUUCCAAAUGCCACUACAUUUUCUUGUUUCCAUAACUGAACAACAGACUCUUCCUGUUCCUUCGGCAUUAACAAAACCAGAAGACUUGACUAGUUGCUGAAUUUUGAUGGAUACAUCUGAAAUUUAAUGAAAUAAGGAAAACUAUAAAAUAAUUUCAGGCCAGAAAUUACUUUUUUUAAGUAAUUCCCAAGGUCUGCUAAAUAUGUUAUGGAACAUAUUUAUCCCUUUCUGGGCUAUCAGUUCCUACCCUUCCUACCAGCGUCCCUGUCUUCCACUUGAAGUGAAUAUGUAACACGUUGGUGGGUGAGGGGGUGGGUGGUUCUACGUACCUGACUCCUGCUGCUUUCUGCCAGUAAGGGAGCUGUGUGUACCCGCCCUCUGGUACAGCUAGGGGAAGAUACAUGGUCCAAGAAGCUCAACCAAUUGCUUAUCACUCUUGAAACUUGCAAUCUUGAAAAAUAAUGAAAAUAACCCUCUAAUAAAUUACUUUCUUGCUCAAGACAA